UACCCAAAACAACAUUUAGAGACCAUCCAUCACAAGAAAAAAGAGUUGCCAAGGGGCAGCGUGCGACAUACCCUGAUCUCGUCCUCGGUCGGCGCCGGCGCCGCGGGGCUGCUCCUGCUGCUGCUGCUGUACAUUUGGUUUGAAGGGGGCUCUGUUGGGUGGC
Non-coding RNA from Brachypodium distachyon (stiff brome), 163 nucleotides. Lineage: Eukaryota; Viridiplantae; Streptophyta; Magnoliopsida; Poales; Poaceae. The record is from RefSeq and is marked provisional.